CCCCCUGCCCUGCCUCCCCCUCCCACAAGCUUCAGGACCAUGUCUAUAUGCCUAGGGUGGACCGAGCUUGGGGGAGGGGAUGAGAAAUAGUCCCUGCCCAGUGCCUCAACAACCAAGAUGCGGGGGGUCCCGUCCUGUCCAGCGUGGCUCACUGGCCGUCUGCACUCUGGCCCCGGCAUCCGUCUCUGCUGGCUCUGAGUCCGUUCCUCUCUAGGCCGGCCGGUCUGGCUUGCCCGACAGCUGAGGUCCUCGGGGGUCAGCAGGGCAGGGGUCCCUGUCAGCCCUGGCAGAGGGAGGCCCUCAGGAGAAGAGGCAGGAGCUCAACUCCACGCAAAUGGCCUUCCAGCCUGAGAGCCCCAGCUUCAGCCACCCCCAGAGAGCCUGGUUCCAGGCCGGGGCUGGCCUGCUAUCUGCGCUUCCGGGCCGUCCUGUGGGUGCUGAGGCCGCGGGUCCUGGGCCCCCAUGUUGAGGACUGCUGAGUGUCCAGCAGGGAGGAGCCUCCAUGGGCGCUGGCGAGCCCUCCCAGGGCUGGGGCUGCAAGCAGACCGUGUUCCGUCGUGGCCGCGCGACGCCAUUUGCAGGUUGAUUUUCCUGAGUGAUACAGUGACACGCUGUGGGAUUUAAUGGCCUCCAGGCCCCUUUACAGCAGCAACUGUGGUCUCACCAGCCGUGCCAGCCGCAACUGUCUGCGUGGGGCUCCCACGAAGCUGCCACCAGGAAAUGUGGCAGCGGCUUCAGAGCCAAGAGGCCUGGGUUCGGGUUCUGCCGCUGUCCUGAGUCACGCGGCCACAACAGAGAGGACACAGCACAUCGAUGAAGCCUGUUUCAAGCCUGACUUCCCUUCCUGCCGAGUGCUUGGCCCACAGCCCAGGAACGUCUACCAGAUACAGCCUGACUCCCGGGUUGGAAGGGGCUCUUCCAUCGACUCCGCACCCUUGGGGGUGCAAGGUGUGUGUGUGCGUGUGUGUGUGUGAGUCCCUGUGUACGCAGUCGUGCACGCUCAACCAGGAGACAAGAUUUUAGCUCUUUUGAGGCUCCUGACGUGACACCUGCAGCCAGGUGAGAAUGUAGCAAACACGGCAUGAAAGGAAAGCAAAGUGCAUUUCUCAGGAGCUGAAGGGAGGGGCGACUGUGUCUGCAAAUGUCAGGUUCGUUUCAUGUUUGCGUCGAAGACGUGUUCAACUCUGGUGCAGACGGCUGGCACCAGACCAGGCGUGAUGCCCUAGGCUGAAAUCGGGGAGAGCUUACAGGAUCAGACAGACACGCUUCUCUUUAGCGGGUGCGGGGUUUCUGCUGGGCAGUGCACUAUUGCGCCGUUAACCCACACUCGUCCAGGAAGGACCCAUCCUUUCUGUGGUCAUGAAAGCCGCAGUUACUCACUCGGACAAGAUACAGGCCGAGUCCGCUGCUCCUCUGGCUGAGGCUGCUGCUGGGGUUUGCGGAUCGAGUCUGAAAUCUUGUUUCAUGCUCCGUGCAUAGUUUUGCUUCUUUCCAAUGACUCCAUUCUCUCGGCACUUUUUAUGCUCAGAACCAAGUGGCAAACAAUAGUCUUGAGCUAAUGAAAGCGUCCGUGGAGCUAUGGAUGAACUCCCAGAUUGGAGCUGGGUGGCGUGUAUGACACAGGCGUCCAGAAACUCCGUAUGGGGAGGCACUGCGGGGCUACCUCCUUUGGGGCAGCCACUGUCCCCACGUCUACUGCCCAGGAGUAGCAGCCGAGUGGGCUGCCCAUUCAGGAGCUAACGACCCAAAUUCACAUCGGCCUGUGUUCAUGGGGAUCAUCGUGAUUUUGCAUGUGGUACACCUGUCCGGAGCACGACACAGGCUGUCCACACAUGCCAGACAGUCUUACCAGAGCUCUGUAAUCUGGAAAAGGGCACACUCUGUGGGACAGAGAAGCGUGGAGAUCCGGACCAGUGCUUACCAGGUUGUUGUUUAAAUGUAAAAGUACGUGGUACAAAUGGCUCAGUGACUGUUGUAACUAAUAUUCCAUGUGUCAGACUGCAUUUGUACCCUCGCCAUGUUCCUGAAAGCCCACAUGGAGCUGGGAUGCCAGCUUCUCUCUGUAGAGAUCGCUGUUGCUAGUCAGGUAUCCUAGACACCUUCUUUUCAUCUGAUUACAAAAUCCAGCAUUUCAGGAAUGGGCUUUUGCCCCCCCCCCCAAAAAAAAAAGAAGGAAAGAAAAAAGAAAAAAGUGACUAGGAGCAUUUGUCACUGAUUCCUGCUAGUCCAGUGAGCAUCUGAAGAAUUCAGGUGUCUUAAAAUCACAUGCUUUUUCUAAAUCCUAGAGUAUACCUUUUAUGCUAAACCAGCAGGCUGCACUGAAUUUCCUGGAAAUAUCUGGGCUCUGUUACUGCAAACUCCUCCAACAGGGGACGUCUGCGUGUCAAUGCCACUCUCUCUCAUGGAACAAGAGGAGGGACCAGAAGUUGUCAGAAAUGUUUAUUGUGUAACCAAGAUGUGGACAUGUGUUAUCAACACAAUCACAUGUGUACACAAUACCCAGAACAACACGGAUGUUUUCGUUUGUCUACAUUAGAAAUCCAUGUGAAUUGCAGCUCCCUGGUUGACACGGAUGUGUGAGUGCGUGCACCUCAUUUCCACCUUCCACAGUCUGGAGUCCCAGCUGCUGAAGGACUGUGGCUCUUCCUUCAAGUGCUCAGCUCUUGCAGAACCCGUAGCCUUCAGGACACCCCGCGUGCCUUACACGGCUUGUCAACACUGCACUGGAUGUCAGGAAGGAGGGUGUGCCGGGAGCGGGUUUGGAGGCAUCGUGACGUCAGUCCACAUGUACCAUCACCCUAUCACUGAAACCUUAAGAUGGAUUGUGUGUUUUAACACAGUAACGGAUUUACAUUUAGGCUCAGGAAAACCAAGCUGUAAAUAUAUGUAUCAAAUCAUAUAUUUGUUUACUGUAUUUUAAAGAGCUUUAUUGUAAAUGUAUGCAACAAUGAAUUAGGACUCUUUACCAUGACAAUACGCCAGGCAGUAUCUGUGUUCUCUGAAGCAGCUCCUUACUAACCACAUUCUAACCAUGUGAUAUUCUGUCCAGUGCUAAACAGUAUUCACAGGCCUAAAAUAGGUUUGUACGGUGGUCAACGACAAAAUUUUGCACAUAUUUUUGUAUUGUGAUUCCUAUGAUAUAUACCAGAGGAUUUUUACUCAUUUGUAAAUUAUUGUACAGUUUUAAUAAAAAAUGUUUUAAAUCUUAGAAUAUCA
Long non-coding RNA from Ursus americanus (American black bear), 3216 nucleotides. NCBI's taxonomy places the organism in Eukaryota, Metazoa, Chordata, Mammalia, Carnivora, Ursidae. The record is from Ensembl.